Molecule: ribosomal RNA, 497 nt
Filed under: uncultured bacterium
Lineage: Bacteria
Description: partial 16S ribosomal RNA
Rfam family: Bacterial small subunit ribosomal RNA
Source: RNAcentral
GAUGAACGCUGGCGGCGUGCCUAAUACAUGCAAGUCGAGCGAACAGACGAGGAGCUUGCUCCUCUGACGUUAGCGGCGGACGGGUGAGUAACACGUGGAUAACCUACCUAUAAGACUGGGAUAACUUCGGGAAACCGGAGCUAAUACCGGAUAAUAUAUUGAACCGCAUGGUUCAAUAGUGAAAGACGGUUUUGCUGUCACUUAUAGAUGGAUCCGCGCCGCAUUAGCUAGUUGGUAAGGUAACGGCUUACCAAGGCGACGAUGCGUAGCCGACCUGAGAGGGUGAUCGGCCACACUGGAACUGAGACACGGUCCAGACUCCUACGGGAGGCAACAGUAGGGAACCUUCCGCAAUGGGCGAAAGCCUGACGGAGCAACGCCGCGUGAGUGAUGAAGGUCUUCGGAUCGUAAAACUCUGUUAUUAGGGAAGAACAAAUGUGUAAGUAACUAUGCACGUCUUGACGGUACCUAAUCAGAAAGCCACGGCUAACUACGUG